AGCGAACGUUAGCGGCGGGCUUAACACAUGCAAGUCGAACGCGAAAGCUCCUUCGGGGGUGAGUAGAGUGGCGCACGGGUGAGUAACACGUAGGUAAUCUGCCCUCUGGUGGGGGACAACUGUCCGAAAGGACAGCUAAUACCGCAAGAGACCACGGCACCUCCGGGUGACGAGGUAAAAGGUGGCUUCGGCUACCGCCAGAGGAUGAGCCUGCGUAGCAUCAGCUAGUUGGUGGGGUAACGGCCUACCAAGGCUAAGACGCUUAGCUGGUCUGAGAGGAUGAUCAGCCACACUGGCACUGAAACACGGGCCAGACUCCUACGGGAGGCAG
Molecule: ribosomal RNA, 331 nt
Filed under: uncultured Pseudomonadota bacterium
Lineage: Bacteria; Pseudomonadati; Pseudomonadota
Description: bacterial SSU rRNA
Rfam family: Bacterial small subunit ribosomal RNA
Source: RNAcentral